AGUCACUGUCAGGAAGCUGAGCUAGGAUGCCUUUAGCUUUGAUGACUGGGGUGACUUGGCUCAUUCCACAUGUUUCUCAUCCUCUAGUGGGCUAUACUGGGAAUGUUCUCACAGUAAUGGCACAGAGAAAGGAAAUCUCCGGCAUAAAAGACAUUGGAACUAAGAAAUGUGUUGAUUAAAAAAAUAUAGGAAGUGACAGCAGGAACACAGUACUACCUUAAUUACCAAAGCCAUUUCUAACUUUGGGUGUCAGCUAAUACUUAUUCUGCCUAGGUGGUGUUCUGAUUUAUAUGAGUGUCUGAAAGAUAUAAUGUCUUUCCCAGAGGACUUUAUUAGAAUCUAAUGAUUCAACUUGAAUGCAGAAAACAUAAAAAUGUGUGUGUUCAGGAAAGGCAGAAGCUGGAGGUAAGUUGUGGGGAGACACACUUAGUGAGACAGAUGAGUCCAGGCCUGAGGCACCUCAACCCAUCCACAUUCUUCUUCCACUAUUAGUUUUAUAUUUUCUUCAUAAAAGCAAGAUUUUUUUUUCUCAGAAAGAUAUAUGUGCUUUUCAUGUCUGCAUUCUGAUAAGGAAAAUAGUCAAGAGAAAUCAUGAAAGUAUUAAAGAAUGGCCACUAAUUGAAUUACUUUAGACAAUAAAAAUGCAGCUGUUCUUUGCACCCAAAUGAGUGUUACCAUUCAAUUUUUCAAAUAAAGUUAAAAAAGGAGUAAUUUUUGCUCAAAAAAAAAAAAAAAAAAAAAAAAAAAAAAA
RNAcentral lists this long non-coding RNA (751 nucleotides) under Homo sapiens (human). RNAcentral's name for it is "long independently transcribed non-coding RNA 1243 (LINC01243)". Lineage: Eukaryota; Metazoa; Chordata; Mammalia; Primates; Hominidae. The record is from RNAcentral.